GACAGAGGGUGCAAACGUUGUUCGGAAUUACUGGGCGUAAAGCGCGUGUAGGCUGCUUCGCAAGUCGGAUGUGAAAGCCCUGGGCUCAACCCAGGAAGUGCAUUCGAAACUGCAGAGCUGGAGUCCUGGAGAGGAAGGCGGAAUUCUCGGUGUAGAGGUGAAAUUCGUAGAUAUCGAGAGGAACACCGGUGGCGAAGGCGGCCUGCUGGGCAGUAGCUGACACUGAGGCGCGACAGCGUGGGGGAGCAAACAGG
This 254-nucleotide ribosomal RNA is filed under the name uncultured bacterium. Its description in RNAcentral is "partial 16S ribosomal RNA". It matches the Rfam family "Bacterial small subunit ribosomal RNA", at positions 524 to 776 of the family's 1533-position model. The record is from RNAcentral.